This is a long non-coding RNA of Callithrix jacchus (white-tufted-ear marmoset), 1922 nucleotides long. RefSeq lists it as uncharacterized. The record is from RefSeq and is a predicted model, not a curated record. NCBI's taxonomy places the organism in Eukaryota, Metazoa, Chordata, Mammalia, Primates, Cebidae.
UACAGCAGUGAAUGGACUAAAACAUUUUAUUUCAAAUUUAUAUCCUGUAUAGCUUUGCAUUACAAAAAGAGCACAGAACGGGAAGUUAGGACAUCCUGCUUUGAGGUCUAGCACAGCCAUCAACUAUGUGAUCUUGGGUGAGUCACUUCACCUCUCUGAACCUGUUUCCUCAAGAAAAAUAAGGAGAGUAGGCUGUCUGCAUGAUCUCAAGACAACACAAUGUGCUGGAAUGAGUCUUACAGCAAGAGUUCAAAGUUCAAGUUCUAAUUCUAGAACUUGUUGAGUGUAAAAUUCACAGCGAAUCAUAUAACCUCUUGGAACCCCAGUUUCUACAUCUAGAAAAAGGGGCAGAAUAAUAUCAGAAAUGCUUCACUCUCAGGACUGUGAGGAGCAUAAAAUUAAAUAAUGAAAAAAGGUCAACUAUAAAGCACUAAAUAAAGCAGCAGUGACCAGCUUUGGGAACACGGAUCAACUUUCAACCCCAACAAGCAAGCAAGCCAACUCCUAUGAUUGCUGAAGGGAAGACUCUAAAAGAGAGAGAAUUCCUGGAGACCAAGAAAUGGAGCUACAGUGAGGUCACACAGCCAAGAUCACAUAGCCAAGAACUGGGAUUUGAGCCUAGAAUACUCUGAUCUCAGAGUCUGGAUGCUAGUUUCUUGCUGCCUUCCCUGUGUUAUGAGGUCAUGUCUAAAUCACCUCCAUUAUUGAAAAUUACUUAUGAAAGGCCUAUUCUGCUGGAUAGAGCAAUCACCUUAGUCAAGUAUGAUCCAAAUGUUGCCACUAAAUCCUACCCAACCCUAUCAAAGGUCAGACCCUGGAGGUGUGGUAACUCCCUCCAGUUCGAUUAAAAAAAAACCAAAAACACAAAAAACCAGUAGGUCAGAGUAAGGAGCUACUCUGAGCCAGCAGUGGGUGGGUUAAGUUAAAGAACAGAAAGAUGUAACCUGACCCGGGACUUAGCUCUCAUUUUCAGUAGGCAAAAGCUCCUUGCAGGAUGAUCUUGAGUCAGACCUGCAAUUCCUUUUUUCUUUCCUUUUUGGAACGGCAAUAACAAUGUCUGCCCAACAUCUACCGCUUUAAGUUGUUUUUUACAGUAGAACUGACACAGCCUUUUAAGCAGGCUCUGUGUGCAGAGUAACUCUCCCCUUGCACACAGAGCAGAUCAUCAGGUUCCCUGGAGCCCCAGGAUCUUUCUCUAAUCAUAAAAAGGCAGUCUGUACCUCUAAAUCCCAAAUCCUUCCCUACCCUAUCCCUGCUGCACCCAGCUGUGCAAGGUAAGUCUUAGAAGGUCAUGUCCCCAACAAUCCCACAAUUUUCUCAUCAGUAUUCUUUGCUACUUCCAGGUAUUACAGCAUCACUGCUGUUUAAGAUUAGAACUUAAAAACUUGAAAGUGUCAGGAAGGAUGUGGUGCCUUGUCUCCACAUCAAGUAAACAGCCCAUGGCAUUGGCUUCUGACAAGUGACAACAGACUCACAGGGCAGCAGUUGAGGAGCUGUGCUUACAUGAUACUUACUAUCCUGAGACACACUGACAUAUGGGGAUGCCCAUACACAGGUAACCCAACCCCAUGGACUCAGUCCAAUGGUGAACACAAGAGAAUCUCCAGCAUUUGCUCAGCUGUCACCACCUCCGCAGGUGCAAGAAAUGGCCGAUGGUUCCAGAGGAUGACUCCAGCCUCUUAAAUAGAAAAGGGAGUGUGUUAGAUCUCAUCCAGCCAGUUGUAGGGAAAGGUGGCCUUUAAGAAACUGUGGUUAAUGUUGUAAGGAAACAAGGCAGCUUUUGAAGCUAUUUUCAUAGCCUACAGAGAAAUAAAUGACCAGUGCUGAGGGCUGCAGACAGCAGGAUGGGCAGCACGACCAAGCUCUGUAUUCAUUUUAUUCUAACCUGUUGGGGCAGGGGAAUUCAUGGGUCCAAAGACUCA